UGGCGGACGGGGUGAGUAACGCGUGAGGAACCUGCCUUUCAGAGGGGGACAACAGUUGGAAACGACUGCUAAUACCGCAUAACGUACGGGUAUCGCAUGGUACUGGUACCAAAGAUUUAUCGCUGAGAGAUGGCCUCGCGUCUGAUUAGCUAGUUGGUAGGGUAACGGCCUACCAAGGCGACGAUCAGUAGCCGGACUGAGAGGUUGGCCGGCCACAUUGGGACUGAGAUACGGCCCAGACUCCUACGGGAGGCAGCAG
RNAcentral lists this ribosomal RNA (259 nucleotides) under uncultured bacterium. RNAcentral describes it as "partial 16S ribosomal RNA". It matches the Rfam family "Bacterial small subunit ribosomal RNA", at positions 96 to 354 of the family's 1533-position model. The record is from RNAcentral.